This 72-nucleotide transfer RNA is filed under the name Laevapex fuscus. RNAcentral's name for it is "tRNA-Ser". Lineage: Eukaryota; Metazoa; Mollusca; Gastropoda; Ancylidae. The record is from RNAcentral.
AGAUUUUUAUUUAUUUGAAAAAUAAAAUUGAAGCUGCUAACUUUAAUUGGGGAUUUUUUAUUCCAUUUUUCU